This 491-nucleotide ribosomal RNA is filed under the name uncultured bacterium. Its description in RNAcentral is "partial 16S ribosomal RNA". It matches the Rfam family "Bacterial small subunit ribosomal RNA", at positions 29 to 506 of the family's 1533-position model. The record is from RNAcentral.
AGUGAACGCUGGCGGUAGGCCUAACACAUGCAAGUCGAACGGCAGCACAGUAAGAGCUUGCUCUUACGGGUGGCGAGUGGCGGACGGGUGAGGAAUACAUCGGAAUCUACUUUUUCGUGGGGGAUAGCGUAGGGAAACUUACGCUAAUACCGCAUACGACCUACGGGUGAAAGCAGGGGAUCUUCGGACCUUGCGCGAUUGAAUGAGCCGAUGUCGGAUUAGCUAGUUGGCGGGGUAAAGGCCCACCAAGGCGACGAUCCGUAGCUGGUCUGAGAGGAUGAUCAGCCACACUGGAACUGAGACACGGUCCAGACUCCUACGGGAGGCAGCAGUGGGGAAUAUUGGACAAUGGGCGCAAGCCUGAUCCAGCCAUACCGCGUGGGUGAAGAAGGCCUUCGGGUUGUAAAGCCCUUUUGUUGGGAAAGAAAAGCAGCAGGUUAAUACCCCGCUGUUCUGACGGUACCCAAAGAAUAAGCACCGGCGAACUUCGU